RNAcentral lists this ribosomal RNA (274 nucleotides) under uncultured bacterium. RNAcentral describes it as "partial 16S ribosomal RNA". It matches the Rfam family "Bacterial small subunit ribosomal RNA", at positions 523 to 796 of the family's 1533-position model. The record is from RNAcentral.
AUACGGAGGGUGCAAGCGUUACUCGGAAUCACUGGGCGUAAAGCGCGCGCAGGCGGGCUGAUAAGUUGGAUGUGAAAGCCUACGGCUCAACCGUAGAACUGCAUCCAAAACUGUCAGUCUAGAGUCUGGGAGGGGAAGAUGGAAUUAGUUGUGUAGGGGUAAAAUCCGUAGAGAUAACUAGGAAUACCAAAAGCGAAGGCAAUCUUCUGGAACACUACUGACGCUGAGGCGCGAAGGCGUGGGGAGCGAACAGGAUUAGAUACCCCAGUAGUCC